GGCCCUUAUGUCCAGGGCUACACACGUGUUACAAUGGCCGAUACAACGGGCAGCCACCUGGUGACAGGGAGCUAAUCCUAAAAGUCGGUCUCAGUUCGGAUCGAAGUCUGCAACCCGACUUCGUGAAGCUGGAUUCGCUAGUAAUCGCAGAUCAGCCAUGCUGCGGUGAAUACGUUCCCGGGCCUU
Molecule: ribosomal RNA, 186 nt
Filed under: uncultured Marinilabiliaceae bacterium
Lineage: Bacteria; Pseudomonadati; Bacteroidota; Bacteroidia; Marinilabiliales; Marinilabiliaceae
Description: partial 16S ribosomal RNA
Rfam family: Bacterial small subunit ribosomal RNA
Source: RNAcentral